GCGUCCCUCAAUGGAAGCUCUCUGUAUAUAUAUAUAUAUUUAUACAUAUACACAUAGGUUUUGAAAAAACAUUUGGGCCCUUCUCAGCUUUGGGCCCCUGGCUGUAGCCCUAGUAGCCCUGGCCCAAGGCUGCCUAUGCACGUAUGUGGUGCAAUGAACAACUUCAUUCAAUCACGAUGACGUGCCUUAUUUUUGCACAACAUGAUUGUUGACGAUGAAUAUAAGG
Molecule: long non-coding RNA, 226 nt
Filed under: Prunus persica (peach)
Lineage: Eukaryota; Viridiplantae; Streptophyta; Magnoliopsida; Rosales; Rosaceae
Description: long non-coding RNA (PPER_LNC000583)
Source: RNAcentral